Molecule: ribosomal RNA, 254 nt
Filed under: uncultured bacterium
Lineage: Bacteria
Description: partial 16S ribosomal RNA
Rfam family: Bacterial small subunit ribosomal RNA
Source: RNAcentral
UACGUAGGACCCAAGCGUUAUUCGGAUUGAUUGGGCGUAAAGAGUUGCGUAGGUGGUUUGUUAAGCGAAUAGUGAAAUCUUGUGGCUCAACCAUAAGGCUAUUAUUCGAACUAGCAGACUCGAGAAUGGGAGAGGUAUCUGGAAUUUCUAAUGUAGGGGUAAUAUCCGUAGAUAUUAGAAGGAACACCAAUGGCGUAGGCAGGAUACUGGCCCAUUUCUGACACUAAGGCACGAAAGCGUGGGGAGCGAACCGG